Molecule: transfer RNA, 93 nt
Filed under: Caudoviricetes sp.
Lineage: Duplodnaviria; Heunggongvirae; Uroviricota; Caudoviricetes
Description: tRNA-Cys
Source: RNAcentral
GGGGCAUUAGUUCAAAAACGCAGUCUACAAAGAGAUAGGCUGCGCCGGUAGAUGGAGCUGCAUCCGAUGGCGGUUCGAGUCCGUCAUGCCCCG